AACGGCCGUACCAUGCUGAAUAUACCGGUUCUCGUUAGAUCACCGAAGUUAAGCAUCAUUGGGCGCGGUCAGUACUUGGUUGGGUGACCACCUGGGAACACUGCGUGCCGUU
This 112-nucleotide ribosomal RNA is filed under the name Caerostris darwini. The record is from RNAcentral. Lineage: Eukaryota; Metazoa; Arthropoda; Arachnida; Araneae; Araneidae.